AUUGAACGCUGGCGGCAUGCCUUACACAUGCAAGUCGAACGGCAGCGGGGGAGAAGCUUGCUUUUCCUGCCGGCGAGUGGCGAACGGGUGAGUAAUACAUCGGAACGUGCCCUGUAGUGGGGGAUAACUAGUCGAAAGAUUAGCUAAUACCGCAUACGACCUGAGGGUGAAAGUGGGGGACCGCAAGGCCUCAUGCUAUAGGAGCGGCCGAUGUCUGAUUAGCUAGUUGGUGGGGUAAAGGCCUACCAAGGCAACGAUCAGUAGCUGUUCUGAGAGGACAAUCAGCCACACUGGGACUGAGACACGGCCCAGACUCCUACGGGAGGCAGCAGUGGGGAAUUUUGGACAAUGGGCGAAAGCCUGAUCCAGCAAUGCCGCGUGUGUGAAGAAGGCCUUCGGGUUGUAAAGCACUUUUGUCCGGAAAGAAAUGGCUCUGGUUAAUACCUGGGGUCGAUGACGGUACCGGAAGAAUAAGGACCGGCUAACUACGUGCCAGCCGCCGCAGUAA
RNAcentral lists this ribosomal RNA (508 nucleotides) under uncultured bacterium. RNAcentral's name for it is "partial 16S ribosomal RNA". It matches the Rfam family "Bacterial small subunit ribosomal RNA", at positions 30 to 523 of the family's 1533-position model. The record is from RNAcentral.